RNAcentral lists this small RNA (27 nucleotides) under Bombyx mori (domestic silkworm). RNAcentral describes it as "ovarian small RNA-33417". The record is from RNAcentral. Lineage: Eukaryota; Metazoa; Arthropoda; Insecta; Lepidoptera; Bombycidae.
UGCAAUGUUACUGACAAGGGUGUCGAA